UAGAUUUGAUUUAAUUUUUAUUUCCUUCCUUUUGAAUACACUCCUUAAAACUUUUUUUAGGGAUCAAAGUGUUUCAAAUCGUUUACUGUGAAGAAAUUAGAGUGUUCAAAGCAGGCGUAACCUAGCCUUUGAAUAUAUUAGCAUGGGAUAAUGAAAUAGGACUUUAGUUCUACUUUCGUUGGUUUCUAGGGCUGAAGUAAUGAUUAAUAGGGAUAGUUGGGGUCACUAGUAUUUAAUUGUCAGAGGUGAAAUUCUAAGAUUUAUUAAAGACUAACUACUGCGAAAGCAUUUGACAAGGAUGUUUUCAUUAAUCAAGAACGAAAGUUGGGGGAUCGAAGAUGAUCAGAUACCGUCGUAGUCUCAACCAUAAACUAUGCCGACCAAGGAUCCGGGGUUGUUAAUAUGGAUGACUCUCCGGGCACUUAUAGAGAAAUCAUAAGUAUUUGGGCUCCGGGGGGAGUAUGGUCGCAAGGCUGAAACUUAAAGGAAUUGACGGAAGGGCACCACAAGGAGUGGAACCUGCGGUUUAAUUUGACUCAACACGGGAAAACUUACCAGGUCCAGACACAGUGAGGAUUGACAGAUUGAGAGUUCUUUCUUGAUUCUGUGAGUGGUGGUGCAUGGCCGUUUCUAGUUGGUGGAGUGAUUUGUCUGGUUAAUUCCGUUAACGAACGAGACCUUAACCUAUUAAAUAGUUAUUUAAACUUGAUUUCUCGUAAAUCAAAUGUUUAACUAACUUCUUAGAGGGACUCUUCAC
This 757-nucleotide ribosomal RNA is filed under the name uncultured eukaryote. RNAcentral's name for it is "bacterial SSU rRNA". It matches the Rfam family "Eukaryotic small subunit ribosomal RNA", at positions 670 to 1427 of the family's 1831-position model. The record is from RNAcentral.